AUUGAACGCUGGCGGCAGGCCUAACACAUGCAAGUCGAGCGGAGCGGCGGACGGGUGCGUAAUACCUAGGAAUCUGCCUGGUAGUGUGGGGUAACGUUCGGCAACGGACGCUAAUACCUACUACUAUCCGUUGAGCCUAGGUCGGAUUAGCUAGGUGGUGAGUUAAUGGCUCACCAAGGCUACGAUCCGUAACUGGUCUGCGAGGAUGAUCAGUCAAACGGGAACUGAGACACGGUCCAGACUCCUACGGGAGGCAGCAGUGGGGAAUAUUGGACAAGGGGCGAAAGCCUGAGGCAGCCAUGCCGCGUGUGUGAAGAAGGGCUUCGGAUUGUAAAGCACUUUAAGUGGGGAGGCGUUACCGACAGAAUAAGCACCGGCUAACUCUGUGCCAGCAGCCGCGGUAAUAC
RNAcentral lists this ribosomal RNA (407 nucleotides) under uncultured bacterium. RNAcentral describes it as "partial 16S ribosomal RNA". It matches the Rfam family "Bacterial small subunit ribosomal RNA", at positions 30 to 526 of the family's 1533-position model. The record is from RNAcentral.